AACGAACGCUGGCGGCAGGCCUAACACAUGCAAGUCGAGCGCCCAGCAAUGGGAGCGGCGGACGGGUGAGUAACGCGUGGGAAUUUUUCCUGGAGUACGGAACAACCGAGGGAAACUUCGGCUAAUACCGUAUGAUGCCGAGAGGCCAAAGAUUUAUCGCUCUGGGGUGAGCCCGCGUCAGAUUAGGUAGUUGGUGGGGUAAAGGCCUACCAAGCCUGCGAUCUGUAGCUGGUCGAGAGGACGAUCAGCCACACUGGGACUGAGACACGGCCCAGACUCCUACGGGAGGCAGCAGUGGGGAAUCUUGCGCAAUGGGCGAAAGCCUGACGCAGCCAUGCCGCGUGAGUGAAGAAGGUCUUAGGAUUGUAAAGCUCUUUCGCUCGUGACGAUGAUGACGGUAACGAGAGAAGAA
This 412-nucleotide ribosomal RNA is filed under the name uncultured bacterium. RNAcentral's name for it is "bacterial SSU rRNA". It matches the Rfam family "Bacterial small subunit ribosomal RNA", at positions 29 to 489 of the family's 1533-position model. The record is from RNAcentral.